Molecule: transfer RNA, 76 nt
Filed under: bacterium
Lineage: Bacteria
Also listed under: 5 other names
Description: tRNA-Gly
Rfam family: tRNA
About the family: Transfer RNA (tRNA) molecules are approximately 80 nucleotides in length. Their secondary structure includes four short double-helical elements and three loops (D, anti-codon, and T loops). Further hydrogen bonds mediate the characteristic L-shaped molecular structure. tRNAs have two regions of fundamental functional importance: the anti-codon, which is responsible for specific mRNA codon recognition, and the 3' end, to which the tRNAs corresponding amino acid is attached (by aminoacyl-tRNA synthetases). tRNAs cope with the degeneracy of the genetic code in two manners: having more than one tRNA (with a specific anti-codon) for a particular amino acid; and 'wobble' base-pairing, i.e. permitting non-standard base-pairing at the 3rd anti-codon position.
Source: RNAcentral
GCGAGAGUAGCUCAGUUGGUAGAGCAUCAGCCUUCCAAGCUGAGGGUCGCCGGUUCGAACCCGGUCUCUCGCUCCA